Molecule: microRNA, 23 nt
Filed under: Gallus gallus (chicken)
Lineage: Eukaryota; Metazoa; Chordata; Aves; Galliformes; Phasianidae
Description: gga-miR-1550-3p
Source: miRBase by way of RNAcentral
CUUCACUUACACUGCUCACUGGU